This 583-nucleotide ribosomal RNA is filed under the name uncultured bacterium. RNAcentral's name for it is "bacterial SSU rRNA". It matches the Rfam family "Bacterial small subunit ribosomal RNA", at positions 102 to 681 of the family's 1533-position model. The record is from RNAcentral.
ACGGGUGAGUAAUAUAUCGGAACGUGCCCUAGAGUGGGGGAUAACUAGUCGAAAGACUAGCUAAUACCGCAUACGAUCUAAGGAUGAAAGUGGGGGAUCGCAAGACCUCAUGCUCCUGGAGCGGCCGAUAUCUGAUUAGCUAGUUGGUGGGGUAAAAGCCUACCAAGGCGACGAUCAGUAGCUGGUCUGAGAGGACGACCAGCCACACUGGGACUGAGACACGGCCCAGACUCCUACGGGAGGCAGCAGUGGGGAAUUUUGGACAAUGGGGGCAACCCUGAUCCAGCAAUGCCGCGUGAGUGAAGAAGGCCUUCGGGUUGUAAAGCUCUUUUGUCAGGGAAGAAACGGUUUUGGCUAAUAUCCAGAACUAAUGACGGUACCUGAAGAAUAAGCACCGGCUAACUACGUGCCAGCAGCCGCGGUAAUACGUAGGGUGCAAGCGUUAAUCGGAAUUACUGGGCGUAAAGCGUGCGCAGGCGGUUGUGUAAGACAGAUGUGAAAUCCCCGGGCUCAACCUGGGAAUUGCAUUUGUGACUGCACGGCUAGAGUGUGUCAGAGGGGGGUAGAAUUCCACGUGUAGCAG